Molecule: long non-coding RNA, 1267 nt
Organism: Hippocampus comes (tiger tail seahorse)
Lineage: Eukaryota; Metazoa; Chordata; Actinopteri; Syngnathiformes; Syngnathidae
Exons: 5
Source: RefSeq, a predicted model, not a curated record
AAAAAAAAAUCAUCUGAGCAGCAUCUGCCCCUUCAUCAAGACUUGUGAAUCUUUACUCAGGCCGUCCUGUGUGCAGUUUGCAUAUUGUUGCUUGAACUUGCUCCUUCAACUUGCACAUGUAUCAGAUUCAAAAAGCAUUUGGAGGGAGGCAUGAGGACACCACCCACCUUUGUUUUGGAGGUCAGACUUUUGAGGUGUUGAUGCCCUCUGCGUCUCACGCUACCCACUGUCACCCCACAAAGUAAAGUGACACUUAACUGUCAUGUUAAGGUCAUACGGAAGACUGGAAAUGAUACUUGAGUCAUUAUCCGCAAACAAGGGAAGGUAAUUGCAACCACCUGGGAAUGGCCAAUUGCAGCUCUGACCUGAUUGGCUUGCAGCUCAGCUUUGAAAAAGGGAUUGAGGAAGUCACUGAGCCGGGCAGCAUUCAUGCAUGGCCUGCUUUUUUUUUUGCCACAUAACAGUAAGCAAAUGAAAAGUGCCUCUUCUCCAGUUCAGAAUGUGCCACGCCCCAAAGCCAUUUACGAUCAUCUUUCAAUCGGUUGGCCUCGAACUCCGGCAUGGUUUUGUUGCUGUUACAAAUGAUUGUUGAAAACCGUGAAGUCAUAUUGAAGUAAUCAUAUUUCUCAACAACAAUGAGCAAGAUGGUACUCAAAAAGCUGACUUGCACAUUUGAAUUUAAAGAUAUUUAGCUCGGAGUUGUCGGCUCUACAGCCUGUGUGCAUUGUCGCCCUGCUUUUUUUUUUUCCCUUUACACAGGCACUUAAUUCUUUUUCGCCCAUAUUUAUUUUUAGAACAAAAAUAAGAAUCAGAUCUCAAGCACUUUCUCAAGUAUUGGCCACCGUAAAACUGUUUAUCGUUAUUUCACAAUCUCUGAUCAAGGACAUUUCUAUCAAUGUCCCUCGCUCAUGUGACAUGUCAGAUUUCUGCCAUUGAUCUGCUGCAAGGAUUUCACUACAGUGACUGCCAACGCACCCUACCCUUCAACGCGGGUCGGCUGUCCAGGUGGAUUAGAGACAAUUGGAGCUGACUGGGGCACCACCUCAUCGGCGCAAAGUCACCCGUGACUUCAACGUGUCAGUCACACUAAAAAGGUUUGCGCUGCUUCCUGACAAGUCCAGGGAGACAUGGGCUCGGUUCAACGCACAUCUAUCAGCCCGGCUUUCCACUCACCUGCGGCAAGGCAAGGCAACGCUGCGAUUCAGCCUUCCCUGGGAGAACCAGGAGAGGGGUGACGAGGUCAAAGAGCCAACCAGUACACAAGCCC